AUAGUUGGCUGUAUUUCUGGGUUCUCUAUUCUGUUCCAUUGGUCUAUGUGUCUACUUUUAUACCAGUACCACAGGUACACUAAAAUCUCAGACUUCACUAUAUAAUUCAUCCAUGUAACCAAAAACCACUUGUACCCCAAAAGUUACUGAAAUAAAUAUUUUUAAAGAUUUUAAGAAAAUAGAGAGGAAAGAGAAGGAGGCUAUGAAAUUCCAUAAUGGAGUUACAGGUGCUUGACAUAAUUUAGUGGAUAUUGGACUUAGAAGCUUACAUGAAUGAGGCAAACCUGAGAUCUGUGAUAUUUGUAAAUGAAGAUAGGAGUGAACUUACUGCCCUUAGGAAUGGAAGGAGGGAAGGAAGGGAGAAAAUGAGAGAUGCCAUAAAAUCUGUUACUUCAAUGGAUUUGAAGUAAUCCUUUGAAGCAGGCAGUGAGACUUACUUCAUAAAUCCAUACCUUUUUAAUGUGGAUUGGAGAGAAGUUGUUGCACUGUAAUACCUCUGUUGCUACUGGGAGAGUCAUUGCCAGCCACUAUUCUCAUGUCAAGCUGCCCUUGAGGAGGUUUCUCUUGACGCAAUUUAGAAACAACCCAAAACAAGAUUUGUAACUUAGAGGAAGUCUUUGAUUCUGUGACAAGGGGUCUGUGACCCCCUUAAAGGGAUCAAGUACACAGGAGAUAGUACAAGUAGUACUAAAUAGCCAGCUUAAAAAAUUGGAUAGGUGAGAUGAGACAGGGACAGUGGACAGAAUGGCUCUAGGCAUCCCCAAACACCACAUCUGGGAUAAGGAAAUAGUACAAUGGAAAGUCUAUCCUUGGACCUACUAUUUGUCAUUCCCCAGGGCGUGAUAGAAUAUCUAAAAUAAAAAGAGUUGCUUUGGAGAAGGAUUGCAAAAUAUUAUUUCAUAGAAGAGAUUUAGAAGAGGGGAAACUCCCAAUUACAUAAGGUGGGCAUUAUAGCUUCUCAAAACAUUGGUUCCCUAUAUGGGUCAUGGAGAUUGAUCCCAGUGUCAGCCUAUGGCUUACUAGGCCAGUUUAACUGAAAGAUUUAAUGAGCUUGGAGGGAUGCUGCCACCUGCACUCUCACUUCGGUGGGUGUUUAUCACCAGUGAGUGCAGUACCUAAAGGAGCAAAAGGACAAUAAGCACCCAGUGGACAACAGUGUGGCAUUUUGAGUGAAGAUAGCAACUGAAAAGAUCAUGGGCUUGGCUGGAUUGGGCUGGGCUUGUUUUUUAAAAAUAAAAAAAAAGUUUUCUGUCACGAUAAAAGUAACAGGUGAUCAUUGUUAAAAAAUAAAGUGUAAAGUAUGAAUUAAAAAGUAAAUAAUAUGUAUAAUUUUAUAAGCCAGAAAACAAUAAUUUGUACUAUUCAGGUGUAUGUUCUUUCAUUCUUUUUAAAAAUUAUGUAUAUAACACAGUUUUAUAACAAAAUUGACAUCAUAUUGUAUAUAUCGUUGUAUUAUCUAAUUUUUUCAUUUGAAAAUUCACAAGCAUAUUUCCAUGUUAUCGUUCUUUGAAAAAUACAAUAUUAAGUGCUCCAUAAUAUCUUAUGGAUUUAACAAAGUUUAUUUAGAUGAUAUCAUGUUAUUGGACAUUUUGAUUAUUAUCAAGUUUGCUUAUAAAAUUUAAAUGUAAUGAAGAACAUCAUUGUACAUUAACCUUUAUGCACAUCUGUAAUUAUUUCUUUAGAAUAAGGUUCCAGAAUUAAAAUUAUUUGGUUUGGAUGAUGAGAGCAUUUAUUAGAGCAUCUGACAGGUGGUGUUGAGUUUUCCUCAAUACAGUUGUGUAAAUUACAUUCCCACCAGUAGUGUAUAAAUGUGAAUAUCCCUCCAUAUAUUCAUCAAAACAUGGCCUUUCUAAUUUUGUAAAUCUCUGCCAAUUUAAUAGGUAAAAAUAUACCUUUAUUGCUUUAAAAUUUUUAUUUCUAAUUUACACACAGUAAAAUUCACUCUUUUUAGUAUAUGGUUCUGUGGGUUUUGACAAAUGCACAGUCAUGUAUCUUCUACACUAGUACCAUACAGAGAAGUUCUGUCACUUUAAUAAUUUCUCUUGGUGGCUCUUUUUGUAUUCAACCCCUUACCCCAUACUCAAUCUCUGUAAACCAUCAAUUUAUUCUUCAUCCCUAUGGUUUGCCUUUUCCAGAAGGUCAUAUAAGUGGAAUCAAGCAAUAUGUAGCCCUUUUGGUCUGGCUUCUUUCACUUAGUAAAAUGCAGUCAAGAUUCUCCCAUGUUUUGUGGAUAAUUAUUUCAUUCCUUUUUAUUACUGAGUAGUACUUCAUUGUGUGGAUGUACUACAGUUUUAUUAUCCAUUCACUAACUGAGGAACUUGUAAGAUGUUUCUAGUUUUGGUGAAUAUGAACAAAUUUGCUAUAAACUUUCAGGUAUAAGUUUUGUGUGACAUAAAUGCUCAUUUUUAUAGGGUAAAUGCUUUGGAGUGGGAAUGAGUGCCAGACUGUUUUCUAAAGUUUCCCUAGCAUUUUGCAUUCCAAUUACAAAUAUGUGAGAGUUCCAGUAGCUUUGUAUCUUUACCAGUAUUUAGUAAUUUUGUAUUAUACAUAUAUAUGUAUGUAUAUAUAUAUAUUCAUUUAAAUUUGAAUCGUUGUUAGAAUUUGUAAUUCCCUAAUGAUAUAUGGUAUUAUCUUUUAUUUGUUUAUAAUUGACACAUAAUUAUUUAUGGGAUACAUUGUGAUGUUUCAGUACAUGUGUACAUUAUAUAAUGAUCAAAUCAGGAUAUCACCUCAAACCUUAUGAUGAUCUUACAGUUAAAGAUGAUAUAUUCUUGCAAAGUGUCUGUUCAGAUCUUUUGCUCCCCUUUUUAUUGGAUUGUUCCUUUUCUUACUGUUUUUAUAUGUUUUUUAAUAUAUUGAUACAGAUCCUUUGUCAGAUACAUUAUUUGGAAAUAGAUUUUCCUGGUCUGUGACUUGUCUUUUCAUUCUUUGAACACUGCCUUUUUUAGAGCAAAAAUUUUAAUUUUGAUACAAUUCACUUUAUCAGUUUUUUUACUUUUGAUGUGCAAUGUAAGAACACUUGUCUAACCCAAUGUCAUGAAGAUUAUAUAUUAUUUUCAUCCAGGAAUUUUAUAGUUUUAAGUUUUACAUUUAUAUCUAUGAUACUUUUUGAAUAAAGGUUUGUAUAAAGUUUAGCUAUGGGUCAAGUUCAAUUUUUGAAAUAUGGCUAUCUAAUUGUUCUAGUACCAUUUGUUGAAAAGAUUGUUUCUUUUUUAUUGCAUUGCUUUUGCACUUCUGUCAAAAAAUCAAUUGAUUAUAUUUGUUUGGGUCUAAUUCUGGGCUGCCUAUUCUGUUCCAUUGCUGUCCAUUCACAAAUACCACACUUUCCUAAUUAUAGGAAGUCUUAAAAUUAGAUAGUGUGUACAACUUCGUCCAUCUCAAAAAUUGUGUUGAUUACUACUUUGCUUUUCCAGAAAUUUUAGAAUUGUUGCUUUCUAUAAAAAAUUCUGCUAGUAUAUCUGUUGAGUUAGAACUAUAGAUGAAUUUGAAGAAAAUUUACAUCCUCACAAUAUUUUGUCUUUAGGCCACAAACAUGAUUUAGCUGUAUAUUUAUUUUGGUCUUGCUUUUUUUUCCACUUUCAGCAUACAGAUCCUGGACAUAUUUUAUAUUUAUACCAAAUAUUUUAUAUACUUUCUACUGUUGUAAAUGGUAGUGGUUUUUAAAUUUUCAAACAUUCAUUACUAGUAUAUAGAA
This 3694-nucleotide small RNA is filed under the name Pongo abelii (Sumatran orangutan). RNAcentral's name for it is "sense intronic". Lineage: Eukaryota; Metazoa; Chordata; Mammalia; Primates; Hominidae. The record is from RNAcentral.